RNAcentral lists this ribosomal RNA (749 nucleotides) under uncultured bacterium. RNAcentral's name for it is "bacterial SSU rRNA". It matches the Rfam family "Bacterial small subunit ribosomal RNA", at positions 28 to 776 of the family's 1533-position model. The record is from RNAcentral.
GAUGAACGCUGGCGGCGUGCCUAACACAUGCAAGUCGAGCGAGAAGUAAAGAAAUGAAGCUUCGGUAGAUUUUCAUUAUGGAAAGCGGCGGACGGGUGAGUAACGCGUAGGCAACCUGCCCUGUACAGGGGGAUAGCCACCCGAAAAGGUGAUUAAUACCCCAUGAUGCAAGAGAUACACAUGUAUCACUUGUCAAAGAUUUAUCGGUAUGGGAUGGGCCUGCGUCUGAUUAGCUAGUUGGUAGGGUAACGGCUUACCAAGGCAACGAUCAGUAGCCGACCUGAGAGGGUGAUCGGCCACAUUGGAACUGAGACACGGUCCAAACUCCUACGGGAGGCAGCAGUGGGGAAUAUUGCACAAUGGGGGAAACCCUGAUGCAGCAACGCCGCGUGAAGGAAGAAGGCCUUCGGGUUGUAAACUUCUGUCCUAGGGGAAGAAACAAAUGACAUUACCCUUGGAGGAAGCCCCGGCUAACUACGUGCCAGCAGCCGCGGUAAUACGUAGGGGGCGAGCGUUAUCCGGAAUUAUUGGGCGUAAAGAGUGCGUAGGUGGCAUCUUAAGCGCAGGGUUUAAGGCAAUGGCUCAACCAUUGUUCGCCUUGUGAACUGGGGUGCUUGAGUGCAGGAGGGGAAAGUGGAAUUCCUAGUGUAGCGGUGAAAUGCGUAGAUAUUAGGAGGAACACCAGUGGCGAAGGCGACUUUCUGGACUGUUACUGACACUGAGGCACGAAAGCGUGGGUAGCAAACAGG